Molecule: unclassified non-coding RNA, 238 nt
Filed under: fungal sp.
Lineage: Eukaryota; Fungi
Description: partial internal transcribed spacer region
Rfam family: Eukaryotic small subunit ribosomal RNA (bases 1-46)
Source: RNAcentral
AAGUCGUAACAAGGUUUCCGUAGGUGAACCUGCGGAAGGAUCAUUAGAAAUCACCGGCCUAGCCGGUAUAAAAUUCUAUCCACCCUUGUGUGCAAACAAUGGAAAAAGAGAGAAAAUUGGAUACUUUUUUGUAUCCAAUCUCUCUAAAAUUUUUAUAAACUCCAUCAAAUUUUGAAUAAAACUAUUUUUUAUAAUAAAAUAUAUUAUACAACUUUCAACAACGGAUCUCUUGGCUCUC